GACGAACGCUGGCGGCGUGCUUAACACAUGCAAGUCGAACGGAAAGGCCCUGCUUUUGUGGGGUGCUCGAGUGGCGAACGGGUGAGUAACGCGUGAGUAACCUGCCCUUGACUUUGGGAUAACUUCAGGAAACUGGGGCUAAUACCGGAUAGGAGCUCCUGCUGCAUGGUGGGGGUUGGAAAGUUUCGGCGGUUGGGGAUGGACUCGCGGCUUAUCAGCUUGUUGGUGGGGUAGUGGCUUACCAAGGCUUUGACGGGUAGCCGGCCUGAGAGGGUGACCGGCCACAUUGGGACUGAGAUACGGCCCAGACUCCUACGGGAGGCAGCAGUGGGGAAUAUUGCACAAUGGGCGGAAGCCUGAUGCGGCAACGCCGCGUGCGGGAUGACGGCCUUCGGGUUGUAAACCGCUUUCGCCUGUGACGAAGCGUGAGUGACGGUAAUGGGUAAAGAAGCACCGGCUAACUACGUG
RNAcentral lists this ribosomal RNA (468 nucleotides) under uncultured bacterium. RNAcentral describes it as "partial 16S ribosomal RNA". It matches the Rfam family "Bacterial small subunit ribosomal RNA", at positions 28 to 507 of the family's 1533-position model. The record is from RNAcentral.